RNAcentral lists this ribosomal RNA (253 nucleotides) under uncultured bacterium. RNAcentral describes it as "partial 16S ribosomal RNA". It matches the Rfam family "Bacterial small subunit ribosomal RNA", at positions 524 to 776 of the family's 1533-position model. The record is from RNAcentral.
UACGGGGGGGGCAAGCGUUGUUCGGAAUUACUGGGCGUAAAGGGCUCGUAGGCGGCCAACUAAGUCGGAUGUGAAAGCCCUGGGCUCAACCUAGGAAGUGCACUCGAAACUGCAAGGCUGGAGUCCUGGAGAGGAAGGCGGAAUUCUCGGUGUAGAGGUGAAAUUCGUAGAUAUCGAGAGGAACACCGGUGGCGAAGGCGGCCUUCUGGACAGUGACGGACGCUGAGACGCGAAAGCGUGGGGAGCAAACAGG